AGAAUCUAGCUGGGGGCUCUGGAUCCGGUGGGUGCCUGGGGCCAGUGGAGGAGGAGGAAGCUGAGGAGGUUGGGGUGACUGCUUAGGUGACAUCUGAUGAAAUUAGUGAAUAAGCAAAUCAGCUAUGUCUUACACUCCGGGUGUUGGUGGUGACCCUGCCCUACUGGCCCAGUGUAUCUCUUCCAAUAUCCAGAAGAUCACACAAUAUUCUGUGGAAAUACAA
Molecule: long non-coding RNA, 223 nt
Organism: Prionailurus viverrinus (fishing cat)
Lineage: Eukaryota; Metazoa; Chordata; Mammalia; Carnivora; Felidae
Exons: 3
Source: RefSeq, a predicted model, not a curated record